AUAAUAAUAUGUAUACAUAUUUAUAUAUAUAUAAAUCUUUCAGUAGAAAAAAGUUAUUUGCGUUUGUAAGAAAAAUCCCUUCGCUACGUUUAAUUUAUAAGUUGGCAAGACUAUUGCAAUUAUUCUGACAGAAUUGCCAAUAAAAGAGUAAAAAUAAUCGUAACAAAUAAUAAAAAGAUAGUAUAGAAAUAAAAUGAGAUAAUAUAGAAAAAAAAUAUUUGCUUCUUUAUUAUAUCCUUUCGGAGUAUCGCAGAAUAUUAAUUAAUUUAUCUUGUCAAAAUGUAAAUAUUGUGUUAACAAAUAGAUACGAUACGUACAUAUAUACAUAUAUCUACAUAUAUCUAUACAUAUAUAUAUAUAUAUUGUGUGUGUGUAUAUAUAUCAUUGCAGGAACUAUAAAAGUAAAAGAAAAGUAAUUGGAUUGAAGGCACUUUUUUAUCGGCGUACAAUUAAAUACAUACGUAAAAAAAAUUACACGCUUCUUUGAUUAUAUCUUGAUGUGCAAUUAUGACAAUAUUCUAUUGUUAUUUAUAGUCACAUGAUUAUCAUUUGGAAUCUAGACGUAUACAUUAUAUAUCAAUACUUAUCAGACAAUAUAUAAUCUAUAUACAUAAUAUAAUGUACGUAAGUAGUACAUUAGUUUGCUUACGAACAAUUGUGAAAGUUCACGUCUAAGAAAGAAAAGUUCGCAAUCCAAUGCAGAGAGAGAUCGCAUCGAUGAUCGUGUUACUGACGUCAAUGAAGAUACAGAACGUUCGAUGGACUGUGUCCUAGUUGCUUGUUGCUGCUUUAGCAACAUAUGUCGAAGCGAUUGAGCUUCCUCUCGAAGGGUCACCACCUGCGCUCGUAAAAUAGCAUUUUCGUGUUCUAACAUUGUUGCCUUUAAAGCGAUCUACGAAAAAUAAUUGAAUGAUGGAGGAGGUGGGGAAUAUGUUGUGUAAAGUAUUAAUCGAUUAAGGAGUUUUACAUACACAUUUGGAUCGUUCAAAAAUAAAGACAUUAAUAUUUUUGA
Vespa crabro (European hornet) is the source of this 1012-nucleotide long non-coding RNA. RefSeq lists it as uncharacterized. The transcript is spliced from 3 exons. NCBI's taxonomy places the organism in Eukaryota, Metazoa, Arthropoda, Insecta, Hymenoptera, Vespidae. The record is from RefSeq and is a predicted model, not a curated record.